This 1234-nucleotide long non-coding RNA is filed under the name Heterocephalus glaber (naked mole-rat). RNAcentral's name for it is "lncRNA (ENSHGLG00100050889.1)". Lineage: Eukaryota; Metazoa; Chordata; Mammalia; Rodentia; Bathyergidae. The record is from RNAcentral.
CACCAUUUUCUGUUACUAUAAUAGAAUACUCACAUUUGGGUAAUUUAGAAAUAAAAAAGAUUUAUUUUAGCAUACGGUCUGGAGGGCCACGAGCACGACAGUGGCAUUUACUUGCUUGGCUUCUGGUGAGAGUCUCAUGCAGAAAACAGGAAGGCAGAUGGGCACAUGUGGACAGGAGGAGAGGGACAGAGGAACCAACCUUCUGACAAUAACAUAAUACACUCACACGAGAACUGAUCCAGCCCCAUUAGAAAGGUGUUAAUCCCUCUUCAAGGACCUGCCUCCCAACACCGCUAUAUCAGCAACCAAACUGCAACAUGAGUUUUGGCAGGGAAGAAACUUAUCCACACCAUGGCAGAGGCCAAUCUAUAAUGCAGUUUAAUUUCUUUUUGAGCAGGGUGUAAAGUGUAUUCAUGUUUUAAAACCAAAAAUAGGGGGGGAGAUCUCAUUCCACCAUUCCUAGGCUCUCUUAAUUGGCUACUAGUCAAGAAAAACCCAAUAAGUUAGUUUGUUGAACCUAAAGAUAUUAGGAUCCAAAAUAUCUAUAACUAUAAUAGCCUUAGUAAUAUUCCAGUACAUUAAUUACCUGUGAAUGCUGACUUAGUAUCCAUAGUAAUUGUAAAAAGUUCCUAUUUUAUGCUUACCACUAUUCUAACCUAUUUUAUAUAUUAUAUAUUUUUCAUUUGCCUUUACUUGGUCUAUCAUAAAUUGCAGAUGCAAAUAAUAUGCACACACACACACAUUUGCCCCUCCUAUUCAUAUUUAUUUGAAAGUAUUGGCCAUAGUAGGUUCAAUAAUUUCUAAGUCCUCAAUUUUAUUCUCUGCUUUCAAAGACUGCACAAAAAUUUGUGAUGGCCAAGAUGAUAUUCUGCUCUAUUAUAGGUGUUGAAGAGGUGAUGUUAGACUGUUCCCACAGAGUUUAUACACUAAGGAAGCAGACAUGGCUACCCAAGCCACUUUGUACAGGUGCAGUGACUGCAUCAAGGAAAGGAGCACACCCAUCAUUUCAAACUUCAUCUGGUCACCCACCUGCCAUCCUGCACAGCCCUGUGACAUGCAACAGCUCAGGUCAGGCAUCCUGAGGGCCUCUGUGGCCACUCCCCUCCUGCCCCAGAUAGAGAGGGAAGACCUAGCCUGGCUCUGUCUCUCUUGCUGAGGUCCUGAGCAGCUGGUGAGUGUAGAGCUUGGCUUGGUGGAGGGGUGAGGCUGCUGCAGUAGGCUCCCCCCACCCCCC